Molecule: ribosomal RNA, 876 nt
Filed under: uncultured bacterium
Lineage: Bacteria
Description: bacterial SSU rRNA
Rfam family: Bacterial small subunit ribosomal RNA
Source: RNAcentral
GGCUUAGAGUUUGAUCAUGGCUCAGGAUGAACGCUGGCGGCGUGCCUAACACAUGCAAGUCAAACGAAGCACCUUGGGAGAUUCUUCGGAUGAUCUUAUGGUGACUGAGUGGCGGACGGGUGAGUAACGCGUGGGUAACCUGCCCUGUACAGGGGGACAACAGCUAGAAAUGGCUGCUAAUACCGCAUAAGCGCACAGGAAGACAUCUUCCGGUGUGAAAAACUCCGGUGGUACAGGAUGGGCCCGCGUCUGAUUAGCUUGUUGGCGGGGUAACGGCCCACCAAGGCGACGAUCAGUAGCCGGUCUGAGAGGAUGAACGGCCACAUUGGAACUGAGACACGGUCCAAACUCCUACGGGAGGCAGCAGUGGGGAAUAUUGCACAAUGGGGGGAACCCUGAUGCAGCAACGCCGCGUGAGUGAAGAAGUAUUUCGGUAUGUAAAGCUCUAUCAGCAGGGAAGAUGAUGACGGUACCUGACUAAGAAGCUCCGGCUAAAUACGUGCCAGCAGCCGCGGUAAUACGUAUGGAGCAAGCGUUAUCCGGAUUUACUGGGUGUAAAGGGUGCGUAGGCGGCAGGGCAAGUCAGAUGUGAAAGACCGGGGCUUAACUCCGGGGCUGCAUUUGAAACUGCUUUGCUUGAGUCCGGGAGAGGCAGGCGGAAUUCCUAGUGUAGCGGUGAAAUGCGUAGAUAUUAGGAGGAACACCAGUGGCGAAGGCGGCCUGCUGGACCGGAACUGACGCUGAGGCACGAAAGCGUGGNGGAGCAACAGGAUUAGAUACCCUGGUAGUCCACGCCGUAAACGAUGAAUACUAGGUGUCGGGGCCGCAGAGGCUCCGGUGCCGCAGCCAACGCAGUAAGUAUUCCACCUGGGGAGU